This 421-nucleotide ribosomal RNA is filed under the name uncultured bacterium. RNAcentral describes it as "bacterial SSU rRNA". It matches the Rfam family "Bacterial small subunit ribosomal RNA", at positions 355 to 775 of the family's 1533-position model. The record is from RNAcentral.
UGAGGAAUAUUGCACAAUGGGGGAAACCCUGAUGCAGCGAUGCCGCGUGCGGGAUGAAGGGGCUUUGCCUCGUAAACCGCUGUCGGAUGGGAAGAAAGGGUUCUUAGAGGACCUGGGACUGUACCAUAAGAGGAAGGGACGGCUAACUACGUGCCAGCAGCCGCGGUAAUACGUAGGUCCCGAGCGUUGUCCGGAAUUACUGGGUGUAAAGGGUGCGCAGGCGGCCUUGUGCGUCAGAAGUGAAAUAUCACGGCUUAACCGUGAGGGUGCUUUUGAAACGGCGAGGCUUGAGUACGGGAGAGGAUGAUGGAAUUCCUGGUGUAGCAGUGAAAUGCGUAGAUAUCAGGAGGAACACCGGUGGCGAAGGCGGUCAUCUGGCCCGGUACUGACGCUCAGGCACGAAAGUGUGGGUAGCAAACAG